GUUUAAUGGAAAAUUCUCGGAAUGUAAGUCUGUUAUUGCGGAUUUUGGCACCGCUGACUAUUAAGAAAAUCCAUACGAUAAUCGAAAAUUAUACGAAAGUUCUCGAGGUUUGAAAAACGGUUCCUUAAACUAAAAAUUAGAGAUAUUUUUUUUUUUUAAUGCAGAAUGUUUUAAAUUGGUCUGUAAGCUCAACAGUUAGUUUAUCAAACAGGAAUUGGGCGUCAGAAAGAAAAUUUUCAAUAAAAUGUCCACGAUAUAUACGUGUAAUCUCGAAACGACACGAGUCGGCUUCACGUAAGAAUGACAUCAUGCAAAUAGCGAAACGGAGGAGAAGAUCGAUAAAACUCUUACGUUAAAUUAAUUCGAAUCACCUGUGAAACACGAUCGAUUCCGGAUGGAUCCCAAUUCGAUUUUCGUCUUCUCCAAUAAGAGAAAAAUCGCUUCCCUUCCGGCGAUUAUCCGAAAAUUGCCCCCGCCUAUCUUUAUAAUUAAAUUGCCGCGUAUCAAAAGGAAAUUAAGAGAAGAAGAAAAAAGUAAAUUAACAGAAUUAGUGAAGAGAAUUUUAAACUAAGUAAAAGGCGAAAAUUCGACGUUCGCGUUUUCCUUCUAUAUAGAAUUCGUAUAGCGGAAAACGAGCGCUAUAAUCGAUUAGCAACCUAGACUUUAAGAGAAAUCGCCAGAUGUUUCCUAGUCCAUUAAUCCAAUUUGGACAUUUUUAUCGUAAAUACAGGCAUAUAAAGAUAACAUUCGUAGAAUAAAGAUUGGCGCGCACACACACACACAGUUAAACUUCAAUGGUUCACUUUGUAACUAGCUAGAAAUAAAAUAACUUACAGUAGUACUCUUAUUUCUUCCUUUAAAAAAGAAGAAAAAAAAAGAGUUUUAAAUGGCGUACAAACUCUCUGAGAGUUGGUUUAUUAUGAAUAGUAGCAUAUAAUGGAAGGGGAAAUCAGAUCCACCAAGAAAGACUCCAGAACUAAAAAUAAAGGAAACCGGACUCAAAGGUGGAUCAAUGAAAGCUUUUGAGAUGAACUGGAACAGCUGCGAAGAAAGAAAGAAAAAGGAAAAAAAACGAAGGAUACGUAUAAUGGAGAUAAUGUAUUCGAGAGAGAGAGAUGUCAUCGCAAUACGGAAUAGCUUAUUUUUCGGUUAUAAAACGAGCCAAAUACUAGAUUUUAUUUUAUUUUUUUCUGUUAUAAAUAACAGUAUAGAUUUAUACGCGAAAAUAUUUAAACUUUCGAUAUGUGCGACUAUCGAUCUAGCGGUGUAAAUCUAGUUUUCAUCCAGGGCAGAUCAAUGAGCGUACAAGAAAUAUUAAAUUAGAAAGCUGUAGAUCUAUUUUAAUCGAAGAAAAAACAAAUUUCGGGCAUUCGACGAUACGAUAACGGAUGUUGUUAGAUAAAAACGUUAAAUGUUAUCGCACCUCGGCUUACGGGCUUUAGUCGGAUGUGUGCGAUGCGCCCAAAUGAUGUUUCUAUAAUUCUUCGUAGCAUCAAGCGUUGUUUCGUUUUUUUUUUUUUUUUUUUUUUUUUUUUUUGUUUUUUUUAA
RNAcentral lists this long non-coding RNA (1548 nucleotides) under Androctonus crassicauda. The record is from RNAcentral. Lineage: Eukaryota; Metazoa; Arthropoda; Arachnida; Scorpiones; Buthidae.